Molecule: unclassified non-coding RNA, 263 nt
Filed under: plant metagenome
Description: partial contains small subunit ribosomal RNA, internal transcribed spacer 1, and 5.8S ribosomal RNA
Source: RNAcentral
UUUCCGUAGGUGAACCUGCGGAAGGAUCAUUAUUGUAUAACCGAGGUGCGAGGGCUGUCGCUGACCCGAAAGGUCGUGCACGCCCGAGUGCACUCACACACAUCCAUCUCACCCCUAUGUGCACCACCGCGUGGGUCCCCCUUUGGCUUGUUCGGAGGGGGGCUUACGUUUUCACACAAACUUUGUAUGCAGUGUAGAAUGUAUUUUUUGUUCUUGCGAUCACGCAAUCAAUACAACUUUCAACAACGGAUCUCUUGGCUCUC